This 227-nucleotide unclassified non-coding RNA is filed under the name Melitaea cinxia (Glanville fritillary). RNAcentral describes it as "misc RNA ENSMCXG00005004685.1". The record is from RNAcentral. Lineage: Eukaryota; Metazoa; Arthropoda; Insecta; Lepidoptera; Nymphalidae.
AUAGUUUGGUAUCAUGAUAAGGAAACCAGGAUCUGAUGAUGGGAUCCCAGAGAAAUCGAGGGAAAAUUUCAAAAAUCGUACGGGUGACUAGUAAAUUUAAUCAUGUUUUCAUUAAGUACUAUAAAACACUACUAUUUAAUAAAGGUCUGGCGUCGAUCUGAUGAUGGAGAAGAAAGAUAGUCGAGGGAACUUUUCAACGAUUUAUAGCAAUUACCUGCUGUGUGGUC